AAGCAAUGAGGUUUCAACAAGUGGCUGAUUGGGCAAGGGCACAUGGCCAGGUAUUGUGUUUCCAUAUGUAAUAGCUUGUCUCAUAACGUCCUCGUUCAACCGGAUGUUCAAUGGCCGAUAAACCGGCGGUGAAGCCUUCUCGACCACGCCCACAUUGUAGUCGAUCUUUGUGUUGGCACUCGGAGUUUGCGAAUUGGAGGUCUGCGUGCUCACAUGUCCGGUUACAGCAUUCUUUGUUGUGUAGUAUGUGCUCAUUGCUAUGUUGAGACCAAGUUCGAUUGUUUUAGUGUUUGGUGCGUUCGUGUUUGUGUUGGAGGUUUGCAGUGUAUCUUGGAGCAAACCAAGACGACUUGCCACAGUCUGUGCAAUGGAUUCCCGGAAGGGUAACUGCACAUUCAGGCCGAUGUCUGAAGAGCCAUCGGGCUUACCUGGUUGAACUGGAGCCAAUGGCUGUGAAAGUGUGCGAAUUUCCGUCUUGGGAGGGGACUUUUUUAGGAAACAACCGGAACAGGCCUCCGAGUUGAAGUUGUACUUGGGCAGAGCCACCGGAGCUGCAGGAAGCAGGACCUUUGGAGUCGUUGUCACAGGAACACUUUCUGGAAAGUAAAUAAUAUUACAAGUCAUUCAAAAGUUCCCCUUGAUCACCUAUACAAUCCUCUGUUAGAAAUUUCCAAAUAAAAUGUAUUACAUUUAAAAACAAACCAAAACAUAUUAUACAAGUUAAGAUUAUUCUUAUCAAACCAAAAACGUUUGGUUAUAUUUAGAAACGUAGCUCGAAAACCAGUAUGACUUUAAAGGAAAUAAUCUGAAUGGAAGUCUGAUUUCAAUCGGGUUUAUGAUUUGAAUUAAUAAAUAAUAUUAUCAGACCAAAAGCAUAUAUUUUAGUGCUGUCAUAGGUUCGUAUUGCAAUUCGAAUUAAAUAUUCAGAAUCGGUCAAGAAUUCUGUCAAUACUCACUUGAACCAACUGGACCCGCGUAAGGAUAGCUCUUCAUGGAGAUUAUCCGGAAUUUGCCCUCCUCGUCGGUGGCAUAGACCGUCACGUGAUAGAUACCAUCGGCGGUGAUGAACCCAAACUCGCCCAUGAUAAUGCCGCGUUCAUCUGUGAGUUGGGGAAACAAGAUGAGAUUUGACCAAAAUGAUUUUGUGUUCAUUUUGAAUAUGAAUGCGAAUUUUACGCCGAUAUGUGAUUUUUAAUUUGUUUGAUAACCAGCCACGAGCAGGCCCAUAAAGAUUAAGAUCUAAUAAACUGUAUCGAUAAUGGCGAUCAUAACUUGUGAGCUGGUUUCUUAAAACCCCUCAACCGCACCACACACCCCCAUCGCUUUGAAUUGAUAUGUUAGGCAGCUUCCUACGUAAGAAACAUUCCUAUGUUGAGAUGAAUUUAUUAAUCUGGAUGACACUGUGGAUGGUCUGAAAGAGGUGCGUCUCUCACCAAAGCAUCCUGUCCAGCCACCCACUAAAAUGUUCUCAUUUGAAAUUCUGGCUUGUGGCCUUUGUGUCUGGAAACAGGUUUCCACAAUACUGGCCAACAAGUUUUAACGGUUUGCAUCAAUUGGCUUUCGCUUGUUUGUUUUAGGUUUAAUUCAAAUUUGGCUUCGUGUCACUUUCCCAUUUGUCUCGAUCGAUUUCGACGGGGCUUGAAAACAAUUCUUUAUUUCAAUUUAUUCUUUUGUCGUGAUCAAUUUGAUUUUAAAUUGUUCAAUGAGCUGGGCUAAAUAAUGAAAACUAUUAAACUCGUAUCAAUAUAAAUUAAGACUAUCAUUUUCUGGUUAUACAAUUAACACUAAUAAAAAAAUAACCAUAAAAUUAACAUACAUUUUAGUGGGUAAUAAAAAUUGAAACUGGGAAUAAAUUAUUAUAAAUUAUAAUUAGAAAAUUAUUUAACCAAAAUUAAAGGAUUUAUAACUAUUGGUAAAGUUUCAUUCCCACUUAAUUAUUUUACAGUACAAAAACCUAAUGUUUGUAAUCAAGAGACUAUUCAUAAAGAAGGCAAGUAAAAUUUCAAACAGUAUUUGGUUAGAAAAAAUUUUAAUUAUGUAAUAUAGUAAAUAGUAAAAUACAAUUAAAUAUAUUCUAAGUGACAAUACAUUUUUUUCUAGUAUGUUAAAUUUAAAGUUACGUAUUAUAGCUCUGAAGUAAUGCCCCGUAAGCUAGACUUUAAAAAUCUGAUGUUGAUCAAUAGAUCGUUCAAUAUUUAAAUCAAAGGUGCCGAAAUUGUUUUUGUUAGGAUACCGUUUAUACCGUUCUCCUUUGAAUAGUUAUACAACAAACAAAUAUCAUUUUGCAUGCACAACGAGUUCCUGAAUUUGUUUGUUAAUAUGAACGUAAUACAAUUUUUGGCUCAACUCUGGCAUUUUAUAUGCCAGAAUUAUACUUAUAAAUAUUGAAAUGUGGCUGAUCUUUUUGAAAUUAGCAUUAGCCAAAGAAAGAAAAACCAUAAAUAAGCCAAACAUUUGUGUGUUCGAAAGAGUCUACAUGUUAUGCAAAUCGGCCACGUUUCGUUUUCGAUUUUCUGAAAACUUUAUCACCGAUUCAGCAUGGAAAUAAAAAUCAUAACGACCAUGCAUGCCAUUUGGACACUACACAAUGGACUUCAGAGAUGAACCCCCGGCCAUAUGUGUGUUGUGAAGAUUCCGCUAAUUGCCAUUGGUGGCUGGUAUUUCAAUUGCUGGUGACCUGUCGCUCAGGUGCACCGUGCACCCAUCAAACGUGUAUUGUGUGGCAUUGCACAAGCCGCCACUAGUCGCACUCCGGCUCAAAAGUCAAAAGUUAUGGCUUUUUUUGGCUAAUGCUGGCUGCUAGCUGCUGGAUGGUGCUGCAUUUGUGCAUCUGCUCCUAACGACUCUCGAGAUGACGCAUCAUCUAUUUACAUAUUUCGGUUUCGGUGUCAAUAAAUCGACGCACAGUAGUCAAGAUAUGCUAAUGGUUUAAUUAGCGUCAUUUGCUAGCUCAACCAGCUCACCUCUCUUCUCUGCCCGAUGCUGCUGCUCGUCGAUGGUGAAGCCGAACUUGUAGGGACGCACUGUGGUCGCGGCCGACAGGACAUGGGUCAAGGUGCACAGGAGCAGCAGCUUUAAAGGGAACUCAAUGAAUGCCGGGUUCAGAGUUGGGAUCAAACUUAAGCACUUACAGCACAGACAAACGCCAUCAAUUUUAGGCUCAUUUUGGGAAUUUAUUAUUUAUUUAAAUCGGUCACCAAUUUUAUUUUAUUUUCACGCCCUAAUAUAAACUGUCAGAGCUCACACAAAAACGCAUAAAUAAACGGGCGUUUAUAUUUUAAUACAAAUACGCGAUUAUAAAUAUUUAGAUUUCAAGCGGACGGAAAGACGCGUUUCUCACGGCUAGAUUAUCGGCACGGAGCAAGCGCCUUAGAAUGAAACACACCCCACGAUGUUCGGCAGCGAAUUGACAAUGUUAAUAAUAUUAGGUAAACAUUAUAAAACAUUAGAGGCGGACGAGAACCUGCCGCUGCUUGUUGGCCAAGUGUGCGUGCGAAUCUCUGCCUUCUACACGUUGUGUAUUUCGCCAAGUCGGAUCGCAUAGCUGGUAGCAUUGGCCAGAUCGCAUCACACCUCUUGAGCCUCAGCCAAGCCUGUGCUUAUAAUUUAAAAUUUCAUGCAGUUUGAAAAGUUAUUUAUUUGAUUAUUUAAACUGCUUGUCAGCUAGUUCUGAACUUACUAAGUAAUUUGCAUCCUCGAUAUUUUUUAUACAAAAGCUAAAUUAGUUUUGGUAAAUAACCUUUUUGGCUUUUAUUGCUAGACUUCCUGAGUAUUUUUGGUCCGUAUUGAUUUAUUUGUAGAUUGAGUUCUAGUAAAGUGCAUACAAAAGUCGUUAUUAGAUAUUUUUUAUAUUUAAGCAAAUAAAGAUCCAAAAAAAUCAAAUUAUGAGAGAAGUUUUACAAGAUUAAAUUUAGAAUGGUCUAAUUUAUUAGUACUGUAUUGAAAUUUAAUAACACUUUAGAUUGGUCUUCAAAAUCGGCUAUCAGGCCUGAAGGGUAGUUCAUGCCGAUUUGUAUCUGUUAAUAAUUAAUCGACCCCAAUGUAUUUGCAAUCCAACUUGUUGAGUCUCAUCGAUAGCCAGGCAUUUGACCUGCUUGAUGAGCAAAUUCGAAUGCAAUGAGGAAGAUGUUUGCACUUCUCUAUUUUCAUCGAUCGGCAAUCAGCAGUGAGCUUAUCUUCUGCCGGAUACUGCAAGUCAAUUGUAAUUGAAAUAUUGCUGUCAAGUUCGGCAAUGACUGAUGUUGUAUGCUAAAAUUUGCAUAUUAAUUGCUAUAACAGUUGUCUUUCAAUACGAGCAUAAAUGAUUCGCGUCUAAAGAGACGCAUCACGAAGAUACUGGUAAUUAGCAUUUAGCCCCCAAAAGUAUGCAAGGGAUUUAAAAAGUUCGUUGCCUAAGUCAUUCGAUUUCAAUGCAAUCUGAAUAGCUAUAGCCUGAAAGUAAGCUUAAGAGUCUUUUAUGAUUAAACUAUGCACUUUAAAUCCGCAAAGCCGAC
Molecule: non-coding RNA, 4493 nt
Organism: Drosophila melanogaster (fruit fly)
Lineage: Eukaryota; Metazoa; Arthropoda; Insecta; Diptera; Drosophilidae
Source: Ensembl